UUCUCUUAACGUUAAUGCGAAAUUCUUGUUCGUAAUUAAACAAAAAGCUCGCUGAUGCACCUCACAGAUAUAUUUUUUAAUAUUAAUUCACACUAGUAUAAAAUGACAUCAGCCACUAACGUAAUAUAAAUGGUCAUACAAACAUAACACACAUAAAACGUAAAGUGAAGCAUACUGUAUGGCAGUGAGCAUGUUGGAGGCUAGCUAGCUAGCGGCUAGGGUUUAAAGCUAACAUGGCAUUCUAUAGCUUCACUCAAUGCUUCUUAUCAAACGGCACAAACAGAUGAAAUCAAAUGUCCAACACCAGGCAAAAAGGUCCAAGUCAAAGUCCUGUGCUCACACACAGUUUCAAUAUUGGUUCUGCCAUUCCUACCAAGCAAAUGUAAAACACAAAGCCAGGUGGCAGGUUUGAUUCCAGCAUGGGCCACUCUGGGUCUGCAUGUUCUCCCCCUGACUGCAUGGGUUUUCUCUGGACUCUCUAUUUCCUCCCACAACUAAAAACAUGUAAGGUUUAUUUUUGGUCAGCUUCUGCUGACACUGAACAUGAUUCGUUCCCCGGCUGCAACAAAAGUCCACUGCUCCUCACAAAUUGGUUAAAUGCAGAGAACAUUGUCUGCUGUACAUUUUACACACCUAAAAGUACCUUUACCUAUGAAAAUAUACUGAGUAACAGGAUGUCCUUUCAGAAAAAAAGUGUUGGAAAAAGCAAAAGGAAAUGGUAGAACUCACAGGCAAAUAGGUCUGGGCGAUAUGACCUUAAAAUAAAAUCCCACAUUUUUUGCCCCCGAUAUCUGAUUACCGAUUGAAAAUGAUGGUUUCCCCUUCAAUUAAAAGAAAAUGACAAUUACAUUAUUCAAAACUUGAAGUGACCCUUUAAACACACAGCUUAAUAAAGUUUAAUACAAUAUUUUAAAGGUUUGACAAUUUAACAUCAGUAAAUGAUACAAUGUUUUCUUUGGGAUUAAUGUUACGCAAAAGUGUCUCUGAACAUAACAUUAAUAAAAGGUGCUUCUUCCUACCAAAAUUACCUUUCUCCCUAAAAAAAAAAAAAAAAUCACAUUUCUCGUUUAAAAAACUUAAGCACAUUUUGUUCAAACUCCAAAUCUGGUAUAUUCGCAACCUACUUACACAUUUGGAAAAACGGGUAAAACCGCUUCCUCAUCGCUCGGGUGAAUGCCCAAGGGUACCAUGACAUAGCACCCGUGGGAGCUACAAUGUAUUUUUUUAACACAUAGACACCAAAAAUGACAAUAGCCGAUAUUUAGGCUUUGUUCGUUUACAUAUAGUAUAUCAUAUCAUAUUUGGAUAAAUAAAUCACAUUACAUGUAUUUAACUUGUCAGAAGACAUCAGCCAAGAAGAAAACAUUGAGCAAGUUCGGCUUAUUAUGCCAUUAAUCUUAGUUAUGUUCAUUAACGUAGCAUAGUCAGUUAACCCGUUUUCCAUGUUGGUCACCUGACAUUCCAAAUAUAGCAGCUUUUACAACUAGGGUACCACUGUCGAACACAAGUUGGACAUAAUUAGACUGUGUUCAACUUUGCAGCUUACAAUAAGGAUAGACGUGUCAUUACUGAUUUUUGUUGACUUGCUUGUCUUUCUUUUAACUGAAAUCGAGAUAACUGUUCACAUUUUUGUUUUAUUUUUUUCCGUAUAUCAACAUGCAUAUCCAUGGUUGAUUAUCAUGAUUACUAACGUGAGUGAGUACACUGACUUAACAAUUGAUUGUGUUAAAACCUCCAUGGAAAUACCGUAUUUUCACGACCAUAAGGCACACCGUAUUAAAAGGCGCAGUCUCAGUUACAGGGUCUAUUUCUGUAUUUAACAUACAUAAGGCGCACCGUAUUAAAAGGCGCAGGCAUGGUAAAACAUACGCUAGCUUAAAACAUACGGUAGCAUGCAUGCACGCUAAAACAAUGUUUUUAAAAAGGCAGCGGGAGUAAAACUGAGUUUGGUUGUACUUUAUUGAAGCAUUUAACAAUGUACUCACGUUAUUUUUUGAUCAAUCCUCAUCCACAAAUCUAUCAAAGUCCUCAUCUUCUGUAUCCGAAAUGAACAGCUGGGCAAGUUCUCCAUCAAACACGCCACGUUCCCUCUCGUCAUUGUCGGAGUCAGUCUCGUUGCCGUGCAGCUCCUGAGAAAUUAUGCCGAAAUUUUACGAAAGCUCGAACAACAGUGCAAGCAGACGUGUUAGCCCAAGCAUCCACAAUCCAUUCACAAAUUGUGGCGUAACUCGCCCGGCGCAGCCUCCUAGUCUUAGUACAGCUGUGUUCACCAUCAGUCAUCCAUUGCUCCCACGCUGCUCGAAACUUCACUUUGAACGCCCUCUUUACCCCGAUGUCCAGCGGUUGGAGUUCCUUCGUCAACCCUCCUGGAAUGAUGGCAAGCUACGAGUUAUUGCACUCAGUCGAAUGGUGACUCUAGAGACGCUUCUCCCGGCUGUUCUUUGCUCAUUAAUCCAUUGCUCGAGUUGGUCUUCCAACUCGGGCCACUUCGCCUUGUUUCCGCUUCGUCUUCUUGACUUGGCGAAGCUCGUUUUCCUGCUUCCUCCACUUGCGAACCAUGGAUUUGUUUAUCUUGAAUUCUCUCGCGGCUGCUCGAUUCCCAUGUUCCUCCGUGCAACUGACAGCUUGCAGUUUAAACUGUGCUUUGUAAGCGCGUCUCUUCGUAGGUGCCAUUUCCGGGGGUCCUUAGUCAAACCAAUAUUGUUUUGCACAAUGCACAUACCGGCGCUAUAUACCAACUGGGGGCGUGCCUUUAAUGUCCUCUGUCACGCGCACCAUUCCCCCUUUACGUCUGCAUGCUGUCCUCAGUCACGUCCGCCUUCCUCUAUAUAAGCAGCGUGUCGGCAGGAAAUGCUCCCUGUCAGUCAAGCGGACUGAACAACAUUUACAGAUUUUUUAACUCGGUGCACACUUAAGGUGCACCGCAUUAUAUGGCGCCCCGACCAUUUUUGGGAAAAUUUAGGAGGGGUAGCUUGGCAGCGUAGCUACAGCAGUCAGCGAGACGGGGAAGGCACGGCAGGAACACUGGAGACUGGGAAGAACACAAUCGGGUGAGUACAGAUGCGGGUCGUAGGAUAAUUACUUUCGUAUCACAACACCUGGGAGAACGAGAGUCGGCCGGUGGGUCACAAGCAAGCGUCAAUACUCAGGUGAAGGCUGCAGGGCUUGACUAACUGAAUCUGGACAAAUCACUGCAUGUAAGGGGCAAGGCCGAAAACCAUCAUUGAAUGCCCGUGACCUUCGAUCCCUCAGGCACGCGGCACUGCAUCAAAAACCAACAUCAAUGUGUAAAGGAUAUCACCACAUUGGCUCAGGAACACUUCAGAAAACCAAUGUCAGUAAAUACAGUUCGGCGCUACAUCCGUAAGUGCAACUUUAAACUCUACUAUGCAAACAAAAGCCAUUUAUCAACAAGUCCACAUUUCAUGUCCUCCAGGCAAAAGAGGAAAAGAACCAUACGGACUGUUACGGACGCAAAGUUCAAAAGCCAGCAUUUGUGAUGGUAUGGGGCUGUGUUAGUGCCAAUGGCAUGGGUAACUUACACAUCUGUGAAGGCACCAUUAAUGCUGAAAGCAAGACAAUGCCAAACCACAUUCUGCACGUGUUACAUCAGCGUGGCUUCGUAGUAAAAGAGUGCGGGUACUAGACUGGCCUGCCUGGUGUCCAGACCUGUCUCCCAUUGAAAAUGUGUGCCGCAUUAUGAAGCGUAAAAUACGACAACGGAGACCCCGGACUGUUGAACAGCUGAAGCUGUACAUCAAGCAAGAAUGGGAAAAAAAAUGCACCUUCAAAGCUUCAACAAUUAUUGAAUGCUGUUAAAAGAAAAGGUGAUGUAACACAGCGGUAAACAUGACCCUGUCCCAGCUUUUUUGGAACGUGUUGCAGCCAUAAAAUUCUAAGUUCAUGAUUAUUUGCUAAAAACAAUUAAGUUGAUCAAUUUGAACAUUAAAUAUGUUGUCUUUGUAGUGUAUUCAAUUAAAUAUAGGUUAAACAUGAUUUGCAAAUCAUUGUAUUCUGUUUAUAUUUAUGUUUAACACAACGUCCCAACUUCAUUGGAAUUGGGGUUGUAGUAUCCAUCCUUUUUUUUUGGGGUUACCAAUCCCCAUUUUACAAUAAAUUAAUUAAUACUGUAGUUGAACAAACUAUUUACUGGCUUCUGAUUUCAAAACUAGUUAUCCAUCAAUUUAUGUUUAUGUAUAUGUUGUGUGUAUGUAUGUUAUGAGGCGAUCAUACAUUCAUAUGAGUUCACACACUACAACAUCAGUGACAUGAUUAUAGUAUUGAAGCAGCACUUCUUGAUUGGAGAACACUAAUCUCAUGUUCUUUUUCUCUUACAUUAUCUAUUAUGUAUCUGUCUUUUCUUUCUGAA
Long non-coding RNA from Phyllopteryx taeniolatus (common seadragon), 4369 nucleotides. RefSeq lists it as uncharacterized. The transcript is spliced from 2 exons. Lineage: Eukaryota; Metazoa; Chordata; Actinopteri; Syngnathiformes; Syngnathidae. The record is from RefSeq and is a predicted model, not a curated record.